GGGGCUGUAGCUCAGUGGUAGAGCGCUUGUCCAGCACGCUUGAGGUCUUAGGUUUAAUCCCUAGUACUCCCA
This is a non-coding RNA of Mus musculus (house mouse), 72 nucleotides long. The record is from Rfam. NCBI's taxonomy places the organism in Eukaryota, Metazoa, Chordata, Mammalia, Rodentia, Muridae.